Long non-coding RNA from Formica exsecta, 1380 nucleotides. RefSeq lists it as uncharacterized. The record is from RefSeq and is a predicted model, not a curated record. The transcript has 2 exons. Lineage: Eukaryota; Metazoa; Arthropoda; Insecta; Hymenoptera; Formicidae.
GCGAUAAUAAAAUUGUGUGGAUAUGUUCUUUGUUCAAAACCAUUGACUGUCAUUAUCUGACAACAGUAUCAUAUAUCGACACAUAGAAACAAGAUAGCCUCAAAAUAAUCACUCGAAUGGUUCUAUAGGGAAUGUCUUGCGUAUUAUGGCCAAAGUAAAAAGGGAGCUAAGCGAAUAUAGAGUUAUAAGCAAGAAGGCAAUCCAAGAACGGACGCCACGCUUUGUGAUUCGCAUAAUACUCGUAUGCAUCCAUAUGCGAAUGAACAGUUUAAUGGCUCUGUAAUAAUUUUAUUGCAUUUCCGUUUCUUUUAAAUUUGCAAAAUCGACAAAAAAAAUAAAACGCAAAUUGUCAUACCUUUACAAAACCACUAGGGAUCCUUGCUAUACGUACGAUACACAAUACAAAUCAAAAAUGUAAUUAUCGUGAUAAUAAUCAAUUCGUAAAAAUCAAGAGCGAUUUUAAAAUUUUCUGUGUGAAAAAUUUCUCUUCCUAUUAUUUCUCUAAACUUUUGAAAAUAUCUGCGUUUUGCGCGUUAACUUCAGUUUUAAAAUAAUUUUCAGAAUAUUUCUUAAAUGUCUUUUAAAUAAUUUUAUUCUUAUUUAGAAAUUUAUAUACGACCGCGAUGAUAGAAAUGUAAAGAAAAGACUUGCUGUACCCAAGCAGAACAGAAAAUCAUAAUAAUAUCAAAAUGACAUCACAAUGACUAUCAAAAGUCAUUAUAAUGUCAGUUCGAUGUCAUUUUGAUGUUAUUGUGAUUUUCUGUUUCGCUUGGGUAGAAAUGUAUAUCUGUCGUACCAUAAAUUGUAACGUUUGUGGAAUCUUUACGAAGGAGUCGAGAGAAUUUCUUUCUACGAGAGACAAUGUUUACACGUCACCCUUAAGCGGGUUUAAUAAUAUUCGUAGUUUUAAAAUUGACCAAUCACGAUUAUUCCUCUGAAGAAAGGAAUGACUGUGAUUGGCCAGUUUUAGAACUAUUCUUAUUAAAUUCGAUUAAAACUGACGUAUAAACGUAGUCAAUGUCUCAUUUAUCGAACAAACCGGUCUCAUUUAUCAUAAUAUCACAAAAAUGUUUAAAAAGUAUAACAAUACGUAUCUUACAAGCGAGAGUAACAACACAACAACAAUGUACAAAUGCGCGCAAAUAUAAUAUCUAAAGAAGCAUUCUCGCGACCAACAAUAUAUGUAUAGACGAGUAUCUUCCUCACUUUGCAAUUUGCAGCGUGCGUUUUCAUAUUUACAAAUACAAGAGAGAGAGAGAGAGAAAGAGAUAGUAUAUAUGAGCCGAGCGAUAUUGUAGUUAAUGGCAAACACGUGACGAUUUGUUGCCAUUAGAAAAAAUAAUUAAUAUAGGAAAUAUAUUCUGGCAAUGAUCUUUUAAA